CGCUCCGGGCGGCUCCUUGUCACGCCGCGGGGGCGGCCGGAGCACCGCGGAGCCCCCCGCGGAGAGCGGCGCGCUCGCCCCUCAGCCGCGUUGGCCGGUCCGGUCACAGCAGGGCCGGGCUGGGGCUGCUCCCGCUGGGGAGCCGGGAGAAGGCGGGCUGGAUGGCCGGGUGGUCCGCGGUGCUGGAUGGCUGCACCGCCCCAGCCGCGUUCGGCCGUGGGAAGCUCUUGGACCACGCUGCUUUUGGUGCUCGAAUCCCACGGUGCUCCGGCUUCUCGUAACGAAGCAAGUCUCACCCGAAGCAAAUUACACACAUUCCAGCAGCAAUUUACUUUUCCUGAAAGCUGUAGUGCACCGUCAGAGUGACAAGCUGUUCUCAAGUUAAAAUAGAAUCCGAUCUCGAAAGGAACUGAUCAUAUGCCCUGUUUCCUCUGCACACCCUGAAUUCCCGCCUGCUUCCAGUGCUCAUUGCCUGCUGCCCCACUGGCUCACACCCCAUGCCAACUGACCAGCUGGGACACCCAACAUCACAGGAAAAGUCACAGAAAGCAGAAUCUGAUGAGAUACCUGGCUUUGAUUUUAUUUUAAUUCUGAUUUCCCAUUUUUUGCAUGAUUUUAAACUGAUGGUGAUCAGUGUGACAUACAGUAUCACUGCUGAUCAGGGAAUGCAGUCCCAGCAUUGCUCUUGAGUCUGCAGAAAUGGAGAAAACUGAGAACAGCAAGAGACUAAGAGCAAAGUAGGAGUUUCUAUCUUUCCUUAACAGUCCCCUGACUAUACCUACCCCAAUAAAAAGCACUUGCAUAUGAGUCAUCAAUCAUUUGAAAGCUCGUGAGCAGGUUAUGAGCUGAAAUUAUUAACAAUCCUCAGAGGGGUGGGGAACACUUUUUGCUCCACGGCCUGUUCUUCCCCACAGAAGUCACCAGCCUUAUUGCACCCCUAAUUUCCUAGUUCACAGGUUCCCCUGAGUGGAAAAAUGAGGUGUGCAAGUACUUAUCCUUCUCACCAUUGCCUCUAAAGGCCAGGCAAACCUACUCAGGUCUGCAUGCCAACUGUGAGGCUAAGGUAAGUAUAGAAGUACACAGAGAGCCAAACAUCUUGGGAGAGUGGCUGGUUCAGAACUGGGUGUGAAAGUGCUAAUAAUACAGAACAGCUUAAUAUUUUUCUUUUUUAUUUGGAAAAAAAAUAGAAUUCCUAUAAUUCACAUAAAUUAGAGAGAAUUUGUUCUUUGGUUGUCAGGAACUGAGGAAGAUGUGUAGGAUGAACAUGUAGGAUAACCUGGCAUGUUUAGAUGCCCAUGAACCUCAGGAGUAACAGCAUAGUUGGCUGAGGAUUCUUUUCCACUGACCUUGAUUUUGAAGGCACUGGGGGAAUUCCAGGAGACUGAAAGAAUACUUAUGCUGUGCUACUAUAUAAAGUGUUGAAAAGCCUUGACUAAGAUAAAUAGCAGUGACACUCCCUAGCAGGGACAGGGAGUGUAGAAAAGACAUGCUGGUAGAGACAACAAAGAAUGACAGUACUCCAAGAAUGAAAAAUAGGCACAGAAUGUCAAUUGUGGUGGUUUUUCUGAGAUUUGCCAAAGAAAUCUCGUUUCAUCAUUUCAGAUUACAGGUCUGUACAGAUACCUGUGGAGAUGUAACACACCUAGGUGAUUGCAAGGGGGGUAAUUUUGUACUGUGUAAAACCUAAUGAAAAGUUAGCAAUAUACCAUGUCAGAAAAUCUCUUGCUAAAUUGUUUAGAAACAACAGUUCCCAUAAGUAUAGUUUUAUUUAGCUCUUCCCUCUAUAUUUCAAGGACAUGCUCCAGGUUGUCCUCCCUCUCAGUGUUUGCUAAUAUGUAAUUCAGGAGCUCUUUGCUUAGAGGGAGGUGUCUGAGAGCGGAGCUGGGGCUGCAACCAGCAGAAUAUGGGUGCAAUGGGAAUGCCAGGGUACAAGGUAGGUCCAGAGCACGUGGUGAGCAGGACUCAGCACUGGAACUAGAGGAGCCCAGGGCUGCUGCCAGGUGCCAGACCACAGAAAAGCUUCUUGGAUGGACCUGUUCACCCACUGCCUUCAGAAUAAUCUGAGUUCCCUGUGCAAUCCUUCAGCAAACAAACAAAAAUAUCUACCAUGUCCUUGACUAAGUGCUGGAGGCUUAAUGGGAGUAAAGCAAGCAGGAGGAGAAGGAUGAAUUUUACACUUUUUGUACAGGAUUGGUAUGAUAGGUAGUCCUCAUUCUGAAAAGACUGAUGAAAAAUAGAGAGUGCAGAGAACCACAAAAAAAAAAUUACAAGGGCAAAGUGCUUUUCAUGGAGAGAUGGAGGGUUCCAUCUGUUUAGCUUGUCAACAAGAAAAGUGAGAAGUGACUUGCUUACAGUGUGUAAGUGCUUCCCUAGGCAGAAAAUACUGGGCAGUCAUCACUUCUCACAGCUUGCAAAGAAAGAAAACAGGAUCCAGUGGCUGAAAGCUGGAGCCAGCCAAAUUCGAUUAGAAAUUAGGCACAGAUUGGUAAAGAUGCCUCCUUAGUAAACACGUGAGCGAGGCGAGAGGGUUCCACAGAGCCAGAGAGGGUGCUUUGAGAGAUAGGCUUGAGCCAAAUGAGACAGCUUACUCAACUUUGAAUAAAAUAAAUGCAAGUCAGUGAUUUCUAAAAGGAGGGAUUAAAUUGUCAAACAACAACUUAAAAAAAAAACCAAACAAAUCAAGCUCUUAGGUCUACUUUGCUCAAUUCAUGGACAUCUGUCAGACUAGAAGAAUAAGGGGAGACAUUUCCAGUCUCUUUUCCUAACAAAAGAGUCACAGCUGGGAAACUGCCAAGAAUGACAUGCUAGGAAGACAAAAUGGAAAUCUUACACCUCUGGCUCCUUCAUACUGGUAAGUAAUCACGGAACCUUCCUGUUAGAAAGGUUCCUGGGGGAUGAAAAUGAAAGACCAUCUUUAAUUAUACUGGCCACUGUAUUGAUGCAUUUGCAUUAAGCACUCAGCUCCACUGGUGAUGAGCACAGCAUCAUUAACAUCCAGAAGGGGCAGCCUUCCAGGAUUAGAGGAAAGGGGAGAGGCAGAAGGCUACUGGUGUGAGAAGGGACAGCAGAUCCUGGUGCAGGAAGUCAGGGGUGGCACAAAACCACUUGGCUGUGGCUGAGGGGAGAUGGACAGGAGGCAGCAUGCAAAGCUGCAGUGGCAGCCCCUGGAAUGAGGCAACGCAGGAUGGAAGGUGGCCAAUAGCCUGCAGGAAAUUGAAGGGAAGAAGAAAGAUGUGCAGAUGCACCUCUGAGUAAUAACACAUUGUCCAAGAGAAGCAAAACUAUUACCUGCAGAGAACUUCCCCCUGCUUUGCCCUCAACUACAAAAUCUGUUUACACUGCUGGCCUCCCACUGCCUGCUACAGUCAUUGCUGUAACAGCAGUGUGUCCUGCUGGGAAGAAACCAAGCUGCAAGGGAAAGUUUGCUCUUGGAUCUCACCAGCUAUUGCUACAGUGCUCUCAACAUCAUGGGGCUUCCCAGCAAAAACUGAACAAACCAGCACAGCGAGUGAAAAGCUCUUCAGUGCUCUUAGAGGCUUCAGUAAAAUGCAAAGACAAAACAUUUAUGCAACCCAUGGGCCUGGGCUUUCUUGACCUACUGUGGCAUGACUUUUGGGGAUUAAAAUAAGAGAAGUGGGAAUUUCAGUCAAUGCUGGAGGUGAAAAUGGGUCCCCAGUAGACUUAAAAUACAUCAAAGCUAAAUAGCUACCAAGAGACAAUUACAGGCUUAAGCAAACUCAUGUGAUAAGCACAAAUAUUCCUGUAUAACAUGCCUAUAUAAAUGAACAUGUGUUUAUUAACCCUAUUUAGGAGUUACUGUCUUUCUUAGAACAGUUUAUUUUAAUUUAUAAUUCUUAUUUAAAUGUUUUUAAAUGAGGCAGAGGGCAUGGACAGAAAGGGGAGGACAGAAAGGAGGACAAGAAAGUCCUACAAAUUCAUUCACGGCUCCUUGUUAACACUGACAAGCUCAGAAAUUAUCUAAAUUCCUGCUGAUGUCUUCUUUUCUGAAAGCCCUCUGAAAAUGUAGGAAUAAUAAUACACAGGUGCUAGUCUAAGGCAGCUUUUCAACACUGAUUAUUUUCAACACUGAUUCUAAGGCAGCUUACAGUGGGUGAUACAAAUGGUUUUUUUGCCUUAAUAUCUUUCUGUAACAAAUGCUAUUUUGUUAAUUGCAGAGCACGAAGGUAAUUAUAUGUGGAAACAUGGGCUGUGACAUGAGGGUGUUCAUUUUGGCCAGUGUGGAGUUAGACAAAUAGAUGGUCGAUCAUGGCUUGCAUUUCCCUGUUGCUGAGUACAAACAACAAUUACAAUCCUGAUUAAUGGGAGCUACAAGUAGAGAUAAGAACCCACUUGGGCUUUAAAAGAAACAAAGUUUACUACAUGUAGAGAAGUCCUACAGAUUAAUUGCUGCUCACUGCUUUCCUUUUGCAGAUACAUCACUGCCCUCACAGGCUGGGUUUGGAUCAUCCAGUCAGUGCUUCACCAUGAUGGACAUAUUCACUGUUUUUGAUGUUUGCUUUUUGAAAACCAGUUUGUGCUUUUCUUCAGCUGCCAGACACAAGCCUGCAGCCAUAGGAUGGGUGAGAAGGUGGCAGGGCUACUGCCAGCCCCCUGUAGCUCUAAGGUGGCUGACAUGGGGAUGUAAACAACCACGGAGAACUGCAGGGGAGCAGAGCAGGCAGCCUUGGAGCUGAGCAGGGCCCGGUGCUGCUGUCUCUGAGCAGCCCUUUUGGGGCAGGCACAGCCCUGCCUGCAGCCAGCGCUGGGCCCCAGCCCGGAGCACCCACGCAUGCAGCAUGCACCUGCCUGAGACUGACUGCAAGUUUUGCAACCCGCUUUGAUGAGUGCAAACAAAAAUAUCCAUCGUCAAUUUAAUUCUUCAUUCAGCUCUCAUAAUUGGUUACAGCAAGUGAUAGUUGGGUGUUGAAUUAAUUUUUGCCCUCUCAAGUUCUGUACUUUAAGAUGUGUCAAAAGACAUGUUGCUAUUUGCUGUAGUUUGUGGUGAUCCUGGAAAUAUCUGCUUCUGUUGCUGCUUCUCAAAUCUUAAACUUCAAUGGCUAAUUCAAGCUUUAAAAACUCAAAGACUAACAGAAGUGUAAGGAAUUUUUUGAAGGAAAAGAUCAACCAGAAAAAAAAUCAAUCAGAAAUUAUCUGAAGUCUAUAAUUUGAAGUCUGUUGGAAAGAAUUUCAAGCUGAUAAAACACAAAUUAACUUUUGCUGUCAGUAUUGACAGCAACAACAUUCCAGGACAGAGAGACACAAAUUGAAAAAUGUUAUUUAUAAAAACGAAGCCAGAUUCCACUGGAGAGGAAUGCAAACUAAAUAGCAGGAGCUAAAGGAAAGCCAGGUAGAUUUUGGUGGUAGGGAACCCCCAUGGCUUCCAGGUGCUACCCCCAGCGUCUUGCCCUGUCCAUGAAACAGAAGAAAGGUAGUGCAAAUCCCUUGUUGGCCUCUGUUUCUAUUUCCAGACUAGCUCUUCUGCUUUGGAUUCACAUUAUUAAUGGGCUCCCUGGGGCACAGACAUCCAGAAAUUAAGCUUUGUAUACCCAGAAGGCCAAGAGCACUGCCAAGAGUUGGCAGCUGAUGGAGACUCAUGGUGACGAGGCUCAGAGGGGAUGUCCCCUGUCAGAGGCACAGAGGUCUCUGUCUCAGGGUGGCUUUGUGCUGAGUGCACCAAGCCCUCCUAGGCUGGGUCCCAGACAGAUGUGAAGGUCAGACUGAAGAUGUCGAAGGUCAAGUGAAGAUAUGCCAAAUAACAUAAAUGUCAUCCUUGUGCCAGCAGUGAUCUUGCUGCUGUGUUGCAGGCUAGUGAGGUGUGUCUGAGGCUCAUGCCUAUAUUAUUUUUUUUUUGGAAAGUAAAGCAGAUCCAUGAAUUCCCCAACAUCCAAGGCAAAUAAAUCCUUUUUUUUUUAAACACAGUUACUUCAAAUGAAAACAUGCUAUGGUUUUCUUGAUUUCUCUGGCCAUUGCCAGACACAAGGAAAAUGCUACACACAUAUUGCUGAAUUUGAUUUUGCCUCACUGGAUUUUUAUGGAUGGUUACCCUCAAAAAACAAAUUAUUAAUAGGCCUGUGUCUAAAUGCUCAACCAUGUGAGACUUCAUCUGUUACAUUCAGGCUGUGUUUUGAUAGAUUGUUAUUCCAUUAACUAAAAAUCCUUUGGGCUAUGAAGGAUAUAAAACAGUCCUACAACCACUUGCCCUAAAACUAAUAUUUAAAUAUCACAGGGAAAAAUUGAGUAGUCCAUUAGAGGAAUGGGAAAGGAAUUACAUCAUAGACAAAGAGAAUGAAAUAGAUAUGAUUUCUAGAAGUAUAAAUCAAUGAAAAAUAAAAAUAUUUUGAACUGUGAUUUAAGUGAUGCUAACAAUACUACAAAUCAUUAAAAUUGAUUUUGUAACCCCCUUGUUGUUUCAGAGAUUAAAUUACACUAAAAAUAAUAAUGUAGUUUUGGUAUAAUUUACAUAAAGAAAAAGCUAGGCUCCUAAAAUUUCAGUUUUCUGCAUAUGCUUCUUAAUGGGAACAAAUUCCAAAACCAUUUUGAUUUUAGAAGCAAUUUGGGAAGCUGUCCAAUGAUUAUUGCUCCUGCUCUAAAUUCCCAGGCAAAAAUUAGCCACUAACUUUUAUUUUCACUCAUGCACAAAAUCAAAAAUUCUUGCUUAAUCUCUUCUGCCUUUUCUGGUUUAUAGUGCAGGAUAAACACAAUUAAAUGAAGAAAUUAAUGAUUUUAAUUAAUGAGCAAGAAAUUUUGAUUUGAAUAUGAGUUUUAAACUAGCAUUACACAUCUAUAUAAUUUGAUUUUGAGAAAGUUUAGCAUUCUUUGUUGGAAACUUUGUAAUGCAAUUUCUACCUAAAUAUAAUCUUGAUGCUAAAUGUGGUAUUUCUUUUCCUACCUAUGUACCCAUGCCCAUUUGUGUAUACAGAUCUUGACUGGAGUACAUUUAUUCGUGUUCUAAUUUUUUUGUACACUGAUAAUAUUUAAAACCAAAGAAAUCAUUAGUCAGAACCUGUAAGCAGAGAGGAGAUAUAUAAAUCUAAGUCUUAAAGUGCUUUUUAAAAAAACCAAGCCCUCCCAUAGAUGAUUAUUACAUAUGUAUAUUUCAAAAACAAUGCUUUUUUCCCCUCAAGGUCCUGGUUGAAUUCUGCCUUUUAUGUUCGUUGCCUGUGAACAAAGCUAAGACCACCUGCAAAAUUCAUCAGCAUGGCAAGUGACAUUGCAUGGGUUCCAGUGAUUAAAAAACAUAAGGAAAUAGCCAGACCUGGUUUUGGCCCUUCAGCAAAGGGAAGUCUCUGGCAGCUCUGAUUUCUUCUGCAGAUUGAGCACAGUCCUGCUGGCAGCUGGGUAUGGGGCACACAGCAGAGCACUCCCCUUCCUGGCUCCAUGCUGGAGGUAAGUCAGCAUCAGCUCUGGCACGAGAGCCUUGCUCUGCCUGGCAAGCAGAGGGUGGUGUUCAAAGCCCAGCAGGUCUCCAGGACUGAAUACCUGCUGGGCCCUUCCCCACUGCCACGGGCUGCUCUGAUAUCUUUCAGUGAGAUAAGCUUCCCCUUGGUGCAAUCCAGCAUCCACUGCGGGCUUUGCGUGAGGAACCUGGAGUGCCAUUUACAGGCUGCCACUUUCGCCCACACCUUGAAGUUCCCACUUUUGUACACUCCUUGUAAGCACCAUGUGAAAGCAGAGCCUUUAGAUCUGCAGGUUUUUUAACCUCUAAGCAAAGCAAGGAUCUACUCCCUCCCUCCCCACCAGCUGCCAUCAGAAUAAUAGGCCCCAAGGAAUUAGUUAAAUCAAAGGUUUCACUCUGAAUGCAUCACAGCUGUGGAAAACAUUUACUUCAGGUUUUUGGGGCUGAUGACUUCCAGCUCUAUCCAAAAUAAUUGCCCCUGUAAUUCCAAUCAAGACUGCUUCCCAACACCAACUUUAGCAGGAAACAUCCUAAAAACUGAAGCCUAAAGUUACUUGACAUAGAAAUAUGAGUUGGUGAGUAUCUGAAUGCCCUCAGUGUGCCCUCAAUGAGCCAGCUGGGCACAGUGUGCAGGACUCAGUAGUAUGGCACUAGUUGGGCAGGAAGUGACAAGGCCUCCUGCCCUCUCCUUUCAGCAUCUUUAAAUGCCUUAGGAUGUCCCUGCCUGUCAAAGAUUUCUCCUCUUGCUGUAACUGGAAUGGUUAUGAGAUGGUCUCCUGAAGCUCCUUUCACCACUGUUCUCUGCUCCAACAUGUCCUGGGCAGUUUCAGCUGAGAGGGCAGAGAGGCAGCAGCGAGGCAGGAUGCAGUGCCCAUGGAGGGAAGGGCACCGUGCCAACGCACGGGGCUGGGCUGGGCCUGCUGGGGGCACAGCAAAAGCCUGCAGGCAAGGGCUGCUCAGGACCCUGGGGAUGUGGAAAGCUACUGGUACAGGCACAAUUUCAAAAUAAAAAGUGGGUUUCAGCUGCUGCUCCUGGCAGAGGUACCUGUCUUAUUCUUAAAGAGUCUGUUCCCAUAUCAGAAAUUUGUUUCUUUUAAAACUUAUUUAGUGCAAGAGGAAUAUUUCUGUCAGUGCUUUGGCUGCACUUGGUUGAAAACACCACUGUGACACUUGACCAGCUUGGCAUUCAAAAUGUCAUUUAGACCAGAAAGCAACUGAACCUGAAUACUGAGGCAGAUGUCACGAGCAAAGGUGAACUUCUGUAACUGAAUGAGGUUGCUGAUAAAAAGACUGAAUUGCAGAAGCAUUUGCAGAAAGUCCAGCGGAAGACCGCUGAAUCUUCUGCAUAUGCUUUAUUUCCUGUAUGUGCCUUGUGCAAUCUACCUUGGAGCAGCAAUGCUGUAAGAGAUGUCACUGAAAGUUUGCAUUUAAAAUCCAGUAUUUGCUGGUUAAAGCAGGAUGAGCAGGUUUCUGUCCUCUCCAGAAAUGGGAUUGAUGAUAUUUCUAAACUAAGCUACUUAGUCCUAGACUUGCUUGCAGGCCAGGAGGACAUGCUCAUUUUUCUCUUUCUAUGUAGCAUUGCUGCACACACAGUUGUUCAAAACUGUUUGUUACCUCUACAUUUCUGUUCCAGAUGACAACAAAUGACAAAGAGGCUGAGAUCUGUUCUUUUAGCAUGGAAUGUGUAGGAAGAGUUACUGCCUAUCCCCUAAGUACAGAAUCUCAUCCCCAAAUGUACCUCCUGGUGUGUGUUUAGGAUGCAGUCCAAAAAGCCACAGGACAAAGAAGGAAGAGGAAUGAAAUUGGUAAAAAAACACAUUAAGGAGAAAUAGAGACAAAAAAAAAAUUAAAAGUUAAUUGCUGUACCUGUGUUUGAGCCCACAGGGCUUGCAGAGAUGAGUGUUAGUGAUGAAGCUCUCCAUUGGUGCUGGGGCAAACUUUGUUCUUAAGGUCACAUAAUCCAUCAAGAUAAAAAUGUUAAACAAGUCCUUUCCACUUAUGCUACUCAGUAUGGUUCAAAUUGCUUUUCAGCUGUGCCCAGUGCUUUUGCUGAAUUAAAGUAAAUUAAACAUUAUCCUUUUCUAAUUAGAUAGGUUAGAAGAUGUUGGUGCUACUUCCUACUAAUUUAAAGACUAGAACUAAUUUAAAGAAAUUAAAGCAAAAAACUCCACCUUUAAACAAUGAAUUAAUCCAGAAUUUGAUUUAAUAAGGAAGAAUACAACUGAGGGUUUAGAAACCCAGUCAGGUGGGCAUGCAAAGGAAAAUCAGCCAGUGUGGAGUCAGUGGUGCAGCCACUGUGGAGACUAUUGGGGAGCACAGGUUUUUCCUUCCUGACACGCAAUUGCAAGCAUGUAAUACAUCCAGCCCCCUUCUCAGUCAUCUUUAACAACCAUUUCUGUAAGUCAUUACACUGAGUGUAAUUGCCAAGGGGCUGGCAGGGGGGUCUCUGUGGGGAGAGGCCAGGGCUGCCCUGUGCUGGAUGCAGCCAACGCACCACAGGGCACGGCUCAGUCUGGCUGCCAAACAGGGGCACCUCUGGGAAAGAGGAUUUGAGGUGGGGCAAACAAAUAUUGCACAGGCAGAGGAUGGAAGGGGGAAGAGGUGGGCAGCAGUCACCUGAACACCAAGUUGAAAGCAGGAGGAGGGUGAGGAGGUGCUGCCACAGCUGAGAUUCCUGGCAGCCCCAGGAGGAAUCCACAGCAGCAAGCAGGCAUUUCCCAACAGCACGCUCAGCCUGUGGAAAACCCAUACAGGCUUUAUCUGAAAGAACUGCAGCUCAUGAGGAGGAGCCAGGCUGAAGCAGGGGGCAGGAACAGCAGAGCCCACAACAGCUGUUACAGACUGACCACCAUCCCCUGAGGAGGAGGCACGAGUCAGAAGUGAAGGUGUGAAGUACUAGGAAGGGAGGCUGGUGUUUUACAGUUUUUGACUUUUUGACUAUGCAGUUUUAAUUGGCAAUAAAUUAAAGCCUCUUUUGCUCUUGAUGGUAACUGGCAAGCACUCUUCCCAUUUUUCUCAACCCAUGACGUUUCUCUUUUCUUCCCCAACCAGCUGAGAUGCUGGAGUGAAUGAAUGAGAGGCUGGGUGGGCACACCUCCCAUCAGUUAUCCACAGAGUAGGGAAUCAGGUACAGAAGCCUUGUGGAGUGGGCAAGCUUUGCUAAAGCACAUAUGCAGACUAGAACAAAAGUCAACCAUUAGCAAGAUACAGAAAAAAGCCACAGCCCUCACUUUCAAAUGUGAACUUGCCAGCUUCACAUUUUUGAGACUGGUUGCUGGCACAUUUUACUUCUCUACCUCCUAAAAAGGUGUGCAAUAUUGAACUUCCCAAGACCUUUAAGAAUCUUGACACAGGAGAGCAACAGUCCAUCUCAAACCCUUACGAGAGUAUCUUGUAAUGCACCUGCACAGCAAAAGAGAUCUUUGUGACAGAGCACCCUCUUCUUAUGGCUGAGUUCCCUUAUGGGUGAGAUGUCAUUUGAUCAUGUAGCCUUACAAGUUUUAUAUUAUGUUUCAUCCCAUACUGGAACAGAGCAGUGUGUUUUGCAUACUCAUGCACAUACAUAGGAACA
Long non-coding RNA from Passer domesticus (house sparrow), 10967 nucleotides. RefSeq lists it as uncharacterized. Lineage: Eukaryota; Metazoa; Chordata; Aves; Passeriformes; Passeridae. The transcript is spliced from 3 exons. The record is from RefSeq and is a predicted model, not a curated record.